AAGGACAGGAGACUAGGAAGGCGGAGGGAGGCUGCUAUUGGCAGGGCCUCAGUGGAGACCUCCCGGGGUCCCGGGACGCAGACGGACGGGCCUGAAUCGCUCGCCUUGGUGAAAUGGGAUCCAGCGCUGCCAACUGCGGCAACUGCGGUUAAAGGAGACGACCCCGUGCAGCAGGAGGAGGUUAUUUAGAAUAAGGAAGAAUGCGCCGGGCUCAUUGGUCGCUACAGGGGCAUAAAUUUUUUCUAGGAUUCCAGAGUAUGGCUGCU
RNAcentral lists this long non-coding RNA (266 nucleotides) under Homo sapiens (human). RNAcentral's name for it is "non-protein coding lnc-OR1F1-3:1". The record is from RNAcentral. Lineage: Eukaryota; Metazoa; Chordata; Mammalia; Primates; Hominidae.